GAUGAACGCUGGCGGCUUGCCUUAUACAUGCAAGUCGAGCGAACGGACGAGAAGCUUGCUUCUCUGAUGUUAGCGGCGGACGGGUGAGUAACACGUGGAUAACCUACCUAUAAGACUGGGAUAACUUCGGGAAACCGGAGCUAAUACCGGAUGAUAUUUUGAACCGCAUGGUUCAAAAGUGAAAGACGGUCUUGCUGUCACUUAUAGAUGGAUCCGCGCUGCAUUAGCUAGUUGGUAAGGUAACGGCUUACCAAGGCAACGAUGCAUAGCCGACCUGAGAGGGUGAUCGGCCACACUGGAACUGAGACACGGUCCAGACUCCUACGGGAGGCAGCAGUAGGGAAUCUUCCGCAAUGGGCGAAAGCCUGACGGAGCAACGCCGCGUGAGUGAUGAAGGUCUUCGGAUCGUAAAACUCUGUUAUUAGGGAAGAACAUAUGUGUAAGUAACUGUGCACAUCUUGACGGUACCUAAUCAGAAAGCCACGGCUAACUACGUG
RNAcentral lists this ribosomal RNA (497 nucleotides) under uncultured bacterium. RNAcentral describes it as "partial 16S ribosomal RNA". It matches the Rfam family "Bacterial small subunit ribosomal RNA", at positions 28 to 507 of the family's 1533-position model. The record is from RNAcentral.